RNAcentral lists this transfer RNA (89 nucleotides) under Lactococcus allomyrinae. Its description in RNAcentral is "Lactococcus sp. 1JSPR-7 tRNA-Ser". It matches the Rfam family "tRNA". Rfam says of the family: Transfer RNA (tRNA) molecules are approximately 80 nucleotides in length. Their secondary structure includes four short double-helical elements and three loops (D, anti-codon, and T loops). Further hydrogen bonds mediate the characteristic L-shaped molecular structure. tRNAs have two regions of fundamental functional importance: the anti-codon, which is responsible for specific mRNA codon recognition, and the 3' end, to which the tRNAs corresponding amino acid is attached (by aminoacyl-tRNA synthetases). tRNAs cope with the degeneracy of the genetic code in two manners: having more than one tRNA (with a specific anti-codon) for a particular amino acid; and 'wobble' base-pairing, i.e. permitting non-standard base-pairing at the 3rd anti-codon position. The record is from RNAcentral. Lineage: Bacteria; Bacillati; Bacillota; Bacilli; Lactobacillales; Streptococcaceae.
GGAGAAAUAGAAUGUAAUUUGGUAUCAGGCUAGACUUGAAAUCUAGCAAUCGCAAAUGCGGUGUGUCGGUUCAAAUCCGACUUUCUCCU